CAAGGACACAUCUAAAACCUGCAGGCCCUCAAGGCCCGGAGUUUGACACCCCUGCAUUAGACUGAUCGGGUAUGGCAUGUCUCAAAUGAUAAGCGCGGCUUUGGCCCUUUGUCGUCCUCCUCCCCUCCUGUCUCUGCUCUCUAUGAGAGGUCUUUUCCUGUUGCCCUUAUCUACGAAGGAGCCAGCAACGUUGACGUACUUCCAUGUUGUACUGGGCGAGCUGUACUCUCCAAACAAACACACUGGAGCUGAGAGAGACGGAGAGACACUCUGGCAAAAAGAAGAUCAAGAUAAAGGGGAAAAAAAAUACCGCCAGGGAGGGACUGUUUUUUUUUUUUAAAACAAGAUACCAGAGAGAGAAGAAAGUCCUGGUGGGUUUGUUGUGCUGUGUGCACUGUGUGCAUACUGACAAGCACCUCGCUCCAAAUCGCCACAGUCACACCCAACGGAGCUCAUCAUUCGUGAGCAACACGCUGCUAUUUCAUCUCAGCCCCCCCACCACCACCACCACCACCUCUUUUACACAUCACUCUUUGGGUUGUGCAGCGAUGCCUGAUAUUGAAUGGUACUGAAUGAAAUGCUGGAGAGAGACUUGGAGUGGAGUAGAUGCUGGCUUUCAUCCAGUAACCUGCCAUCAUUCAUCUGGGCAACAGGGGUUAUUGAGAACAAUCGCAGACGGAGAGAGAGAAGUGUGCUGACAGGCUUUAUAUGUGUGAUGAUGUGUAUGGCUCCUUCUGCAAAGAGCCUGAGAAAAUGUUUUUCAUUCCGCCCUUUCUGCCAUUGUUACAGGGAAGCAGACGUUUUUGGAAAGCUAGAUAAGAUAAAUAAUUCUACGGUAUGAAGCAAGAAAUGCUUUACAGCACUGUGGCAGCAGCAGCAGAGGCAAGUGGAGAAGCAACAGGGGCCUAACUGGCUUGAUAUUUUUACUUUGCAGCCCUUGCAUUGAGUAGAAAAGAAGAAAGUCAGAAUUGAAAACUGCUUCCCCAGCUAACCUAGACUGACCAUGUCUCCAACCUAUUACUGAACUGAGCACACAGAUUAAACUGAUGUUGACCUUCUGGUCUAACUCCUGGUGAACAAGGAAAACAAACACGGUGCUGUCAGACUUUUUUAAAGAAGAGUAAUGUUACCGAUAUGAGUGAGCGCUGUUUAUGGUUUCAUCACAUGGGUCCUUUCUUUUUCUAACAUUUGAACUUUGGUCACACUAAUACAGCUUAUGUAUUCAAAAACAACAGCUCUGUGUUUUUCUUUUAAAUCUUUUUUUGUGCAUUUAAUUAAAGACCACAUGUGCCGUCUCUUUGUGGCAGGUAUUUUCGUACUCUUUUGGUACUUUGAUGAAAUAUUAUUUCUCUGUCUCUUCAGCACACGUUGUCAGAAUCACAGAAGAAUAAUGAUAUUUAUUUUAACAGGUUUGUUGGAAGUGUGAUUGCAUGAUUUGUUCAUUUGCACAACCAUGUAGUUUCUAUAAUAACACUGUUUCAAAAGUAGUUUUAAAUAAGUAAUCAUGCAGUAGCUUCCAUGAUAAAUCCGACUCAUUCCAGUUUGCUAAAUUUUAGUGUGAAGUAUGAGAGCUUAUUUCUGCUGGACAUUGGA
This is a long non-coding RNA of Oreochromis niloticus (Nile tilapia), 1593 nucleotides long. RefSeq lists it as uncharacterized. The record is from RefSeq and is a predicted model, not a curated record. The transcript is spliced from 3 exons. NCBI's taxonomy places the organism in Eukaryota, Metazoa, Chordata, Actinopteri, Cichliformes, Cichlidae.